RNAcentral lists this ribosomal RNA (462 nucleotides) under uncultured bacterium. Its description in RNAcentral is "bacterial SSU rRNA". It matches the Rfam family "Bacterial small subunit ribosomal RNA", at positions 355 to 825 of the family's 1533-position model. The record is from RNAcentral.
UAAGGAAUAUUGCGCAAUGGACGAAAGUCUGACGCAGCGACGCCGCGUGGGGGAUGAAGGUCUUCGGAUUGUAAACCCCUUUCGGGAGGGAAGAUGGAGUGGGUAACCACUUGGACGGUACCUCCAGAAGCAGCCACGGCUAACUUCGUGCCAGCAGCCGCGGUAAUACGAAGGUGGCAAGCGUUGUUCGGAUUCACUGGGCGUACAGGGAGCGUAGGCGGUUGGGUAAGCCCUCCGUGAAAUCUCCGGGCCUAACCCGGAAAGUGCAGAGGGGACUGCUCAGCUAGAGGAUGGGAGAGGAGCGCGGAAUUCCCGGUGUAGCGGUGAAAUGCGUAGAGAUCGGGAGGAAGGCCGGUGGCGAAGGCGGCGCUCUGGAACAUUUCUGACGCUGAGGCUCGAAAGCGUGGGGAGCAAACAGGAUUAGAUACCCUAGUAGUCCCUGAGCGGGCUGGCAAGGCGCAU